UGACUCAAUAUGCAAUGUGCUGUUAUUCUGU
RNAcentral lists this non-coding RNA (31 nucleotides) under Mus musculus (house mouse). Lineage: Eukaryota; Metazoa; Chordata; Mammalia; Rodentia; Muridae. The record is from RNAcentral.